Long non-coding RNA from Fukomys damarensis (Damara mole-rat), 922 nucleotides. RefSeq lists it as uncharacterized. Lineage: Eukaryota; Metazoa; Chordata; Mammalia; Rodentia; Bathyergidae. The record is from RefSeq and is a predicted model, not a curated record. The transcript is spliced from 3 exons.
AAAAAAAAGUUUAUCUGAAUUUUUUGUUUGAAUAACUACUUCUGAUUCUACCACUCAUUUUGAAUGGCUGGAAGUCUGUUCGGUCCUCUUUCUCCCUGAUCCAGGUCCAUCCCACACACUCUCUGAAUUACCUUUCACUUUCUACAUGUUGGUUAGUUAUCCACAUGAGUUUCUUGUAGUCUGUAAAUUCUUUGUCAGGCACAGUUUUGUUUUUCGGGGUUAUUUUUUUUUUGCCUGAGUGAACCCAGCACUGUCCCGGGCUUAUUAAACACUUGCCAGAGAGAGGCAUGAUGGGAAAAUAAAGCUUUUAAAGAAAAUUUCCAUGGAAAAAUUGGAGACCAUUGUCCUAGGAAACAGAAUGAGAAGAAUAAUGCUCAGCCAGCCCAGGCUGAUUUUAUGUACUCAGUUAUGUACUUUACACUGCCUCAACGUCACAGUGUUUUUGGCUGCUUCUCCGGGAGGCUCCUGUGCUGCGUGUCACCGCCUGCAGGAUGUUCAGACAGAACGAAGGAGACCAAGUCCGGAGCUGUGUGAGCCAGAAAGAAGAGCCUGAGGUAUCUAGGCAACCUUGCACAUUCUGACUAAUUGAUGGCAUCACAGAAUCCUUGAACCAGAGCUGGGACUCCAGGGGGGCAGACGAGCCAACUCUGGAAUUACCCCUGGCAAUGGAGGGCCCAGACCAGCUCUUCCCCAACAGAGCUCACUCCUGAUCUGCCACCUGUCCUGGCGUCUGAGAUCUUCCUGCAGAAGGAGCAUUUAUUUAUCUGUGGUACUGAGGAUUGAACCCUGGACCUUGCACUUGCUAAGCAAGCACCUGACCGUGGACAUAUACCCCCAGCCAAGAAGCAGAAUGUAAAUCAUUCCUCUCUAACCUGCACCAUUUUCACCUAGAAAGUCAUUUUAUACGAUGCAAUUAAUACUC